GCAGAAUAGCUAGCCUUACAGGUGGGGCCGAAGCCCGAGAAAUUUACCCGGCCCGCAAUAUUAGCAGUAUAUAAACUAAAGCAUUCUCCCACCAUAGUAUGGGCGACAGAAAAGGAAUUUUAAGAGCAAUAGAGAAAGUACCGCAAGGGAAAGCUGAAAUAGUAAUGAAAUAAUUCGUCAAAGCACAGUAAAGCAAGGACUAGAACCUGUACCUUUUGCAUCAUGGUUUAGCCAGUAUACCCAAGCAAAGAGAACUUUAGUUUGGACCCCCGAAACUGGAGUGAGCUACUUCAAGGCAGCCUAAAAUAGGGCAAACCCGUCUCUGUGGCAAAAGAGUGGGAAGACCUUCAAGUAGAGGCGAUAAACCUAACGAACCCAGUUAUAGCUGGUUGCCCAAAAAAUGGAUAUAAGUUCAACCCCACCCUCCUCCAGCUAAAUAAGUAAAGACAUAAUUAAGCGACGAGAUAGAAGUGGGAGCUAGUCGAAGAAGGUACAGCUUCUUUGAAAAGGAUACAACCUUAAUAGGAGGUAAAGGAUCAUAAUUAUUAAAGGAACAACGCUGUAGUAGGCUUAAGAGCAGCCACCAGUACAGAAAGCGUUAAAGCUCAAGCAAUAUAUUAUCCUAUUAUUUAGAUAUAUAAUCCAAAUCCCCUAAAACCUUAUUGGGCCAUUCCAUGCCCCCAUGGAAGAGAUUAUGCUAAAACGAGUAACAAGAAGACCUACCCUUCUCCAGGCGCAUGUGUAUGUUAGACUGGACAAACCACUAACAGAUAACGGCCUCAACACAAGAGAGAACUAGAAAUUUAAUAAAGACCAAGAAAACCCUCUUAACAAAAGCCGUUGACCCGACACAGGAGUGCAACACUAGGAAAGACAAAAGGGAAGAGAAGGAACUCGGCAAACACCAAAGCCUCGCCUGUUUACCAAAAACAUCGCCUCCUGCAAACAUAGCAUAGGAGGUCCCGCCUGCCCAGUGACUUAAAGUUUAACGGCCGCGGUAUUCUGACCGUGCAAAGGUAGCGCAAUCACUUGUCCCUUAAAUAGGGACCUGUAUGAAUGGCAUAACGAGGGCUUAACUGUCUCCUCCUCCCAGUCAGUGAAACUGAUCUGCCCGUGAAGAAGCGGGCAUAUCGUUGUAAGACGAGAAGACCCUAUGGAGCUUAAGACACAAAAUUCAACCAUGUUGAGCCACCCCCACAAAGGGGCAAAACAUAAUGGAAAUUGAUUAGCUGUCUUCGGUUGGGGCGACCGUGGGGAAAAAUGAAACCCCCAAGUGAAAUAGGAUUUAUCCUAAGUCAAGAUAAGACACAUCUAAACCAUAAAACAUUUAAUCACCAAUGACCCGGACACUAAGCCGAGCAACGGACCAAGUUACCCUAGGGAUAACAGCGCAAUCCUCUUUUAGAGUCCAUAUCGACAAGAGGGUUUACGACCUCGAUGUUGGAUCAGGACAUCCUAAUGGUGCAGCCGCUAUUAAGGGUUCGUUUGUUCAACGAUUAAAGUCCUACGUGAUCUGAGUUCAGACCGGAGCAAUCCAGGUCAGUUUCUAUCUACAAUAAGUGCUUUUUCCUAGUACGAAAGGAUCGGAAAAGGAAGGCCCAUGCUGAAGGCAAGCCUUAGUCCCAACUGAUGAAGAAAACUAAAUUAGGCAAGGGCACACGAUAUGCCAGCCAAGACCAGGCUU
RNAcentral lists this ribosomal RNA (1684 nucleotides) under Cromeria nilotica (naked shellear). Its description in RNAcentral is "16S rRNA". It matches the Rfam family "Bacterial large subunit ribosomal RNA". Lineage: Eukaryota; Metazoa; Chordata; Actinopteri; Gonorynchiformes; Kneriidae. The record is from RNAcentral.